Molecule: ribosomal RNA, 280 nt
Filed under: uncultured bacterium
Lineage: Bacteria
Description: partial 16S ribosomal RNA
Rfam family: Bacterial small subunit ribosomal RNA
Source: RNAcentral
ACUCCUACGGGAGGCAGCAGUGGGGAAUAUUGCACAAUGGGCGCAAGCCUGAUGCAGCAACGCCCGCGUGAGGGAUGAAGGCCUUCGGGUUGUAAACCUCUUUUAGCAGGGAAGAAGCGAAAGUGACGGUACCUGCAGAAAAGCACCGGCUAACUACGUGCCAGCAGCCGCGGUAAUACGUAGGGUGCAAGCGUUGUCCGGAAUUAUUGGGCGUAAAGAGCUCGUAGGCGGUUUGUCACGUCUGCUGUGAAAAUCCAAGGCUCAACCUUGGACUUGCAGU